RNAcentral lists this transfer RNA (90 nucleotides) under Myxococcaceae bacterium. Its description in RNAcentral is "tRNA-Asn". The record is from RNAcentral. Lineage: Bacteria; Pseudomonadati; Myxococcota; Myxococcia; Myxococcales; Myxococcaceae.
GCCUUUGCUGGGGGUGGCGGGGAAGCCUCGAGCCGGUUGCGCUCGAGGCGGCGCUCGACGCCGCCCUCUCGUUCGGCGAGAGCAUGGGCU